UUUCUUUUCAUACAUUAUUAUCUAAACCCUGUUAUCAGUUUAACCCUUUUUAAAUAUACAAUUUAUUAUUAUUAUUAUCAUAAUUCUCCUUUUUUUUUUCAUUUUGUUAAUUAUACUUUCUUCGUCUCAUUCAAACAGAGUUUUAUUUUACUAUGCAAAAUUAAUUGAAUUGAAAGCCCAGUAAACUAAAGAAGAAAUUAAGAGCUAAACCACCCACAACCAAACAAAACCCAACUAAACAAAGCCAUCGAAAACCAUCUGGCACUACCACCAUCUCCAUCAUGAAUAUAGACCCAAUCAAAGAAAAGAAAAGAUCAGUGCAUGCUCAAAAGAGAAUCGGCAACAUAGAACACUGACAAGCAACUAAAUGGAAAAUGAAGACUCAGAAACAGAUUCCACACAGGACCCUUGCCGACCACCACCACCAGUCACACCCAAACCAAACCAACCUGAAGCUUAAGGCAGAUUUGAGUCGCCAAUAUCCCAAACACCACACGGAGAGAAGCGACGCAACAGAGCAAAAGGGAGUGUGAAUCACCGGGGGUAUCGGCGCGGUCUGGGAUUAUCGUCGCCAAUAGUCAAGCUUUCUCCCAAAGUGCAAAGACAAAGACCAGACCAACGAAGAAGAGGAUGAAACUGCUCCAUGCUAAUCAGCAGCAAAAGACACUCAUGCAACGAGAUCCGGAACCUAACCUCGUCCACCCAAAAUCGGAUCUGUAGAACCAAAUAAAACUAUCCACUACGGACUGAAAAAGAGGCGCGUUCUUGCCCUCUAUCUGUUCACGCUUUUCAAAAUAGAGAAAAACUUACUAUUUUCUUCUUUCUUGCUUAUUUGAUUCAGUGGGAUCCAAACAGAGAAUUUAAUGAGCC
RNAcentral lists this long non-coding RNA (870 nucleotides) under Manihot esculenta (cassava). RNAcentral's name for it is "long non-coding RNA (MESC_LNC003180)". Lineage: Eukaryota; Viridiplantae; Streptophyta; Magnoliopsida; Malpighiales; Euphorbiaceae. The record is from RNAcentral.